AGAGUUUGAUCCUGGCUCAGGACGAACGCUGGCGGCGUGCCUAAUACAUGCAAGUCGAACGGUCUUUUCUAUGGAAGCUUGCUUCCACUGAGGAGAUAGUGGCGAACGGGUGAGUAACACGUGGGUAACCUGCCCAUAAGAGGGGGAUAACAUCCGGAAACGGGUGCUAAUACCGCAUAGUUUUCUUGAUCGCAUGAUUGAGAAAGGAGAGACGGCCUUUGUGCUGUCGCUUAUGGAUGGACCCGCGGCGUAUUAGUUAGUUGGUGAGGUAACGGCUCACCAAGACGAUGAUACGUAGCCGACCUGAGAGGGUGAUCGGCCACAUUGGGACUGAGACACGGCCCAAACUCCUACGGGAGGCAGCAGUAGGGAAUCUUCCGCAAUGGACGAAAGUCUGACGGAGCAACGCCGCGUGAGUGAAGAAGGUUUUCGGAUCGUAAAACUCUGUUGUCAGAGAAGAACAAGUUGGAGAGUAACUGCUCCAGCCUUGACGGUAUCUGACCAGAAAGCCAGGGCUAACUACGUGCCAGCAGCCGCGGUAAUACGUAGGUGGCAAGCGUUGUCCGGAUUUAUUGGGCGUAAAGCGAGCGCAGGCGGUUCCUUAAGUCUGAUGUGAAAGCCCACGGCUCAACCGUGGAAGGUCAUUGGAAACUGGGGAACUUGAGUGCAGAAGAGGAGAGUGGAAUUCCAUGUGUAGCGGUGAAAUGCGUAGAUAUAUGGAGGAACACCAGUGGCGAAGGCGACUCUCUGGUCUGUAACUGACGCUGAGGCUCGAAAGCGUGGGGAACAAACAGGAUUAGAUACCCUGGUAGUCC
Molecule: ribosomal RNA, 815 nt
Filed under: uncultured bacterium
Lineage: Bacteria
Description: bacterial SSU rRNA
Rfam family: Bacterial small subunit ribosomal RNA
Source: RNAcentral